This 421-nucleotide ribosomal RNA is filed under the name Neoscytalidium hyalinum. RNAcentral describes it as "eukaryotic LSU rRNA". The stretch from base 97 to 250 matches the Rfam family "5.8S ribosomal RNA". Lineage: Eukaryota; Fungi; Ascomycota; Dothideomycetes; Botryosphaeriales; Botryosphaeriaceae. The record is from RNAcentral.
GCCGCCCUCCCGUCCGGGGGGUGGCCAGCGCCCGCCAGAGGACCAUCAAACUCCGGUCAGUGAACGUUGCCGUCUGAAAAACAAUCAAUAAACUAAAACUUUCAACAACGGAUCUCUUGGUUCUGGCAUCGAUGAAGAACGCAGCGAAAUGCGAUAAGUAAUGUGAAUUGCAGAAUUCAGUGAAUCAUCGAAUCUUUGAACGCACAUUGCGCCCCUCGGUAUUCCGAGGGGCAUGCCUGUUCGAGCGUCAUUACAACCCUCAAGCUCUGCUUGGUGUUGGGCACCGCCCUUCCGCGGGCGCGCCUCGAAGACCUCGGCGGUGGCGUCUUGCCUCGAGCGUAGUAGAAAACACCUCGCUCUGGAGCGCACGGCGCCGCCCGCCGGCCGAACCUUUGAACUUCUCAAGGUGACCUCGGAUCAG